CCCACGUGGCUCAAUUCCUACUUGGCUCAUGACUCUCCUGGAUCUAUAGGAGAGCUUUCCAGGGAGUCUGUGUGUAAAGAGCCGGGCCUAAUGUUUGUCAGACAAGCGUCUACUGCUGCUGAGCUCACCCGCUUUGUUCUUAUGUCUCUGCUAACACAUGUCUGCCUGGGAAGCACCUUCUGUUGAGCCUGCCUCUCUUUCUCCUGACAUUCUUCCCAGAUGUUGCUCUGUCAACAAAGGAAGUCCCAGCCGCCCUUCGCUGAAACACCCAAUAGCGGCGUUCAAAGUACCCGAUUCCUUGAAACCGCCUGAAAUCUAUGCACGAACGAUCACAGAGCUGCCAUAAAGCAGCAGGCGCAUGCUUCGCAGAAUACAGGACGACUCAGCCUUUGCUGUUACGCUGGAAUCAUCACAGUAAGAAUGAGAGGUGGCGGGGCU
RNAcentral lists this long non-coding RNA (438 nucleotides) under Rattus norvegicus (Norway rat). RNAcentral describes it as "long non-coding RNA NONRATT031681". Lineage: Eukaryota; Metazoa; Chordata; Mammalia; Rodentia; Muridae. The record is from RNAcentral.